Long non-coding RNA from Erigeron canadensis, 739 nucleotides. RefSeq lists it as uncharacterized. The record is from RefSeq and is a predicted model, not a curated record. The transcript is spliced from 3 exons. Lineage: Eukaryota; Viridiplantae; Streptophyta; Magnoliopsida; Asterales; Asteraceae.
GAGUCGAAGUCGUUCAUGUGAGAUAAAGUUAAAAUUAAUCUUAAGAUAAAGUCAAAGUUAAAAAUCUCUAAUAUUCAAAUUCCUUUUGUCGCUUCCGACCGUCGUCAUCUGGACUUUGUGUGAUGCUGCACCAUCGUCACAACUCUACUUCUGUCACCGUCUCCGGUCAUUUCUCCAGGGUCUUCUGCCUUUUUCAAUCGGCUUGAGUUGCAUUUACAAAUCAGGAGUUGUAACUGCUUGAUGCUUCUGUAUCUCUUCAGAAGGAACACUACCAUCAGAACCAACUUGCAUCCAAGCAUUGGGCUCUUCAACACUUGACUCUGAACUUGUGAAUCGUAUCUAGAACAUUCUUGAGUUUGCAAAGAGCUUCAAGUAUUGUAAUUCUUCCUUCAGGAGAGUCAUUGGUGCAAGAAAGCGCAACUGCUAUGACCGUUGUGAUACAAUCAAGCUGUAUCUUCGGGUUCAAGAGUUGAGGAUCUGAGCAUGACCCUUCAUCUUUAUCAAGCAUAUGAAUAUCCACAACUUGAUCCAAGUUAGCCGGGAAAGCAGACUGCACCCAUGUCUUGAGGCUUAGACCACCCACAAACAUCUCAUCUGUCGGGCUCUUCUCGGUGAAAAUCUCCAACAGCAUAAUGCCGUAACUGUACACAUCUCCUUUCGUUGAUGGUUUUGCUCCCAUACCAUACUCUGUAUUUAAUGUCAAUAUAAGAUGUUAAUGUAAAAUGCAUGUCCUUAUUCA